This 253-nucleotide ribosomal RNA is filed under the name uncultured bacterium. RNAcentral describes it as "partial 16S ribosomal RNA". It matches the Rfam family "Bacterial small subunit ribosomal RNA", at positions 524 to 776 of the family's 1533-position model. The record is from RNAcentral.
UACGAAGGGUGCAAGCGUUACUCGGAAUUACUGGGCGUAAAGCGUGCGUAGGUGGUUUGUUAAGUCUGAUGUGAAAGCCCUGGGCUCAACCUGGGAAUUGCAUUGGAUACUGGCAGGCUAGAGUGCUGUAGGGGCAGGCGGAAUUCCGGGUGUAGCGGUGGAAUGCGUAGAGAUCCGGAGGAAGACCGGUGGCGAAGGCGGCCUGCUGGGCAGAUACUGACACUGAGGCGCGACAGCGUGGGGAGCAAACAGG